Bubalus bubalis (water buffalo) is the source of this 107-nucleotide small nuclear RNA. Lineage: Eukaryota; Metazoa; Chordata; Mammalia; Artiodactyla; Bovidae. The record is from RefSeq and is a predicted model, not a curated record.
GUGCUCGCUUUGGCAGCACAUACACUAAAAUCGGAAUGAUACAGAGAAAAUUAGCAUGGCCCCCAUACAAGGUUGACACACAAAUUUGUGAAGCGUUCCAUAUUUUU